RNAcentral lists this ribosomal RNA (253 nucleotides) under uncultured bacterium. Its description in RNAcentral is "partial 16S ribosomal RNA". It matches the Rfam family "Bacterial small subunit ribosomal RNA", at positions 524 to 776 of the family's 1533-position model. The record is from RNAcentral.
UACGUAGGGACCGAGCGUUGUCCGGAUUCAUUGGGCGUAAAGAGCUCGUAGGCGGCCACUCAAGUCGAAUGUGAAACCUCGAGGCUUAACCUCGAGCCUGCAUUCGAUACUGGGCGCCUAGAGUCUGGUAGGGGGAUCUGGAAUUCCUGGUGUAGCAGUGAAAUGCGUAGAUAUCAUGAGGAAUACCAGAGGCGAAGGCGGCUACCUGGACAAUUGCUGACGCUCCGGCACGAAAGCGUGGGGAGCAAAAGGG